RNAcentral lists this ribosomal RNA (252 nucleotides) under uncultured bacterium. RNAcentral describes it as "partial 16S ribosomal RNA". It matches the Rfam family "Bacterial small subunit ribosomal RNA", at positions 524 to 776 of the family's 1533-position model. The record is from RNAcentral.
UACGGGGGAUGCGAGCGUUAUCCGGAUUUAUUGGGUUUAAAGGGUGCGUAGGCGGAUCGUUAAGUCAGUGGUCAAAUUGAGGGGCUCAACCCCUUCCCGCCAUUGAAACUGGCGAUCUUGAGUGGAAGAGAGGUAUGCGGAAUGCGUGGUGUAGCGGUGAAAUGCAUAGAUAUCACGCAGAACCCCGAUUGCGAAGGCAGCAUGCCGGCUUCCGACUGACGCUGAAGCACGAAAGCGUGGGGAUCGAACAGG